Molecule: ribosomal RNA, 469 nt
Filed under: uncultured bacterium
Lineage: Bacteria
Description: partial 16S ribosomal RNA
Rfam family: Bacterial small subunit ribosomal RNA
Source: RNAcentral
GAUGAACGCUGGCGGCGUGCUUAACACAUGCAGGUCGAACGGUGAACACGGAGCUUGCUCUGUGGGAUCAGUGGCGAACGGGUGAGUAACACGUGAGCAACCUGCCCCUGACUCUGGGAUAAGCGCUGGAAACGGCGUCUAAUACUGGAUAUGUGACGUGACCGCAUGGUCUGCGUUUGGAAAGAUUUUUCGGUUGGGGAUGGGCUCGCGGCCUAUCAGCUUGUUGGUGAGGUAAUGGCUCACCAAGGCGUCGACGGGUAGCCGGCCUGAGAGGGUGACCGGCCACACUGGGACUGAGGCACGGCCCAGACUCCUACGGGAGGCAGCAGUGGGGAAUAUUGCACAAUGGGCGCAAGCCUGAUGCAGCAACGCCGCGUGAGGGAUGACGGCCUUCGGGUUGUAAACCUCUUUUAGCAGGGAAGAAGCGAAAGUGACGGUACCUGCAGAAAAAGCGCCGGCUAACUACGUG